UACGAAGGGGGCUAGCGUUGUUCGGAAUUACUGGGCGUAAAGCGCACGUAGGCGGACAUUUAAGUCAGGGGUGAAAUCCCGGGGCUCAACCCCGGAACUGCCUUUGAUACUGGGUGUCUUGAGUAUGGAAGAGGUCAGUGGAAUUGCGAGUGUAGAGGUGAAAUUCGUAGAUAUUCGCAGGAACACCAGUGGCGAAGGCGGCUGACUGGUCCAUUACUGACGCUGAGGUGCGAAAGCGUGGGGAGCAAACAGG
RNAcentral lists this ribosomal RNA (253 nucleotides) under uncultured bacterium. RNAcentral's name for it is "partial 16S ribosomal RNA". It matches the Rfam family "Bacterial small subunit ribosomal RNA", at positions 524 to 776 of the family's 1533-position model. The record is from RNAcentral.